CUGAAUAACUCAGCAGAUCGCACAGUCUUGCACUGGCGACGCAUCUUUCAAGUGUCUGCCUUAUCAACUGUUGAUGGUAGUUUAUGCGACUACCAUGGUUGUAACGGGUAACGGAGAAUAAGGGUUCGACUCCGGAGAGGGAGCCUGAGAAACGGCUACCACAUCCAAGGAAGGCAGCAGGCGCGCAAAUUACCCACUCUCGGCACGAGGAGGUAGUGACGAAAAAUAACGAGACGGUUCUCAAUGAGGCCCGUUAUCGGAAUGAGUACAAUCCAAACUCUUUAACGAGGAUCUAUCGCAGGGCAAGUCUGGUGCCAGCAGCCGCGGUAAUUCCACUUUCUGAAGGUGUAUACCACCGUUGUUGCGGUUAAAAU
Molecule: ribosomal RNA, 374 nt
Filed under: Nematoda sp.
Lineage: Eukaryota; Metazoa; Nematoda
Description: SSU rRNA
Rfam family: Eukaryotic small subunit ribosomal RNA
Source: RNAcentral